RNAcentral lists this non-coding RNA (94 nucleotides) under chicken gut metagenome. Its description in RNAcentral is "SAM riboswitch (S box leader)". It matches the Rfam family "SAM riboswitch aptamer (S box leader)". Rfam says of the family: The SAM riboswitch is found upstream of a number of genes which code for proteins involved in methionine or cysteine biosynthesis in Gram-positive bacteria. The SAM riboswitch acts at the level of transcription termination control. The record is from RNAcentral.
CUUAUCAAGAGUGGUUGAGGGACGGGCCCUGUGAAACCCGGCAACCUGCAGCGAUGCAAGGUGCCAAUUCCCGCGGCAAUAGCCGAAAGAUGAG